RNAcentral lists this ribosomal RNA (801 nucleotides) under uncultured Bacillus sp. Its description in RNAcentral is "bacterial SSU rRNA". It matches the Rfam family "Bacterial small subunit ribosomal RNA", at positions 18 to 752 of the family's 1533-position model. Lineage: Bacteria; Bacillati; Bacillota; Bacilli; Caryophanales; Bacillaceae. The record is from RNAcentral.
CAUGGCUCAGGACGAACGCUGGCGGCGUGCCUAAUACAUGCAAGUCGAGCGAAUCAUAAGGUGCUUGCACCUUAUGGUUAGCGGCGGACGGGUGAGUAACACGUGGGCAACCUGCCUGUAAGACUGGGAUAACUUCGGGAAACCGGAGCUAAUACCGGAUAAUCCUUUUCCUCUCAUGAGGAAAAGCUGAAAGUCGGUUUACGCUGACACUUACAGAUGGGCCCGCGGCGCAUUAGCUAGUUGGUGAGGUAACGGCUCACCAAGGCGACGAUGCGUAGCCGACCUGAGAGGGUGAUGGGCCACACUGGGACUGAGACACGGCCCAGACUCCUACGGGAGGCAGCAGUAGGGAAUCUUCCGCAAUGGACGAAAGUCUGACGGGAGCAACGCCGCGUGAGCGAUGAAGGGCCUUCGGGGUCGUAAAGCUCUGUUGUUAGGGGAAGAACAAAGUACCGGGAGUAACUGCCGGUACCUUGACGGUACCCUAACCCAGAAAGCCACGGCUAACUACGUGCCAGCAGCCGCGGUAAUUACCGUAAGGUGGCAAGCGUUGUCCCGGAAUUAUUGGGGCGUAAAGCGCGCGCAGGCGGUCCUUUUAAGGUCUGAUGUGAAAGCCCACCGGCUUCAACCGGUGGAAGGGUCCAUUUGGGAAACUGGGGGGACUUGAGGUACCAGAAAGAAGGAAAGGCGGAAUUUCCCACCGGUGGUAGCGGGUGAAAUUGCGGUCAGAAGAUGGUGGAGGGAACCACCCAGUGGGCCGGAAAGUGCGGUCUUUUUUCUUGUCUUGGUUAACACUGGACC